UAAACUCCUUUUGUGCUAUCUCCCUACAACUACACUGCUAGAUUUCACUCCAUCUAAUUGCAACUAUGCUUGCUGUGUAUGCUCUUUAGUUCCCCUUCUGGAUCAAGCAGCUGAUUUCUUCUGGCUUUAUACACACUAAGCUUAUUGUGACUUUGCAACACUGCCUGCGAUCCUUAUAUAGAUCUUAUACAGGAUCAUGCACAUGACCAUUUUCACCUCGGCGGUUUUCUGUGUUUGUCGCUAGUUGUGGGCAACUCGUGGUUGCAUAUUUUGACUGGAUAUCGCUCCCUCCCCUGAAGAAGCGGAAGUCCGCGAAACAUGUAGGGUCUAUGCGAUUUCCUUUUCCAGUUGCAUCCAU
Rana temporaria (common frog) is the source of this 358-nucleotide long non-coding RNA. RefSeq lists it as uncharacterized. The record is from RefSeq and is a predicted model, not a curated record. The transcript is spliced from 3 exons. NCBI's taxonomy places the organism in Eukaryota, Metazoa, Chordata, Amphibia, Anura, Ranidae.